Molecule: ribosomal RNA, 380 nt
Filed under: uncultured Coleofasciculus sp.
Lineage: Bacteria; Bacillati; Cyanobacteriota; Cyanophyceae; Coleofasciculales; Coleofasciculaceae
Description: bacterial SSU rRNA
Rfam family: Bacterial small subunit ribosomal RNA
Source: RNAcentral
CGAAAGCCUGACGGAGCAAGACCGCGUGAGGGAGGAAGGCUCUUGGGUUGUAAACCUCUUUUCUCAGGGAAGAAGAAAGUGACGGUACCUGAGGAAUCAGCCUCGGCUAACUCCGUGCCAGCAGCCGCGGUAAUACGGAGGAGGCAAGCGUUAUCCGGAAUUAUUGGGCGUAAAGCGUCCGCAGGUGGCUGCUCAAGUCUGCUGUCAAAGGGUGGGGCUCAACCCCAAGAAGGCAGUGGAAACUGAGAAGCUAGAGUGCCGUAGGGGUAGAGGGAAUUCCCGGUGUAGCGGUGAAAUGCGUAGAGAUCGGGAAGAACAUCGGUGGCGAAAGCGCUCUACUGGACGGCAACUGACACUCAGGGACGAAAGCUAGGGGAGCG